AUUAGUAGGUGGCAAGCGUUAUCCGGAAUUAUUGGGCGUAAAGAGUGAGCAGGCGGUUAAUUAAGUUUGAGGUUAAAGCGUGGGGGUCAACCCCAUAAAGCCUUGGAAACUGAUUUACUAGAGUAAGGGAGAAGUGAAGGGAACUCCAUGUGUAGCGGUGAAAUGCGUAGAUAUAUGGAAGAACACCAGUGGCGAAGGCGCUUCACUAGCCCGAAACUGACGCUCAGUCACGAAAGCGUGGGUAGCAAAUAGGAUUAGAUACCCUAGUAGUCCACGCUGUAAACGAUGACAACUAAAUAUUGCCGCGAGGCAGUGUUGAAGCUAACGCAUUAAGUUGUCCGCCUGGGGAGUACGGUCGCAAGACUGAAACUUAAAGGAAUUGACGGGG
RNAcentral lists this ribosomal RNA (388 nucleotides) under uncultured bacterium. Its description in RNAcentral is "partial 16S ribosomal RNA". It matches the Rfam family "Bacterial small subunit ribosomal RNA", at positions 523 to 918 of the family's 1533-position model. The record is from RNAcentral.